RNAcentral lists this ribosomal RNA (510 nucleotides) under uncultured microorganism. Its description in RNAcentral is "bacterial SSU rRNA". It matches the Rfam family "Bacterial small subunit ribosomal RNA", at positions 9 to 517 of the family's 1533-position model. The record is from RNAcentral.
GAGUUUGAUCGUGGCUCAGAUUGAACGCUGGCGGCAUGCCUUACACAUGCAAGUCGAACGGUAACAGGUCUUCGGAUGCUGACGAGUGGCGAACGGGUGAGUAAUACAUCGGAACGUGCCCAGACGUGGGGGAUAACGAGGCGAAAGCUUUGCUAAUACCGCAUACGAUCUAAGGAUGAAAGCAGGGGACCGCAAGGCCUUGCGCGUUUGGAGCGGCCGAUGGCAGAUUAGGUAGUUGGUGGGAUAAAAGCUUACCAAGCCGACGAUCUGUAGCUGGUCUGAGAGGACGACCAGCCACACUGGGACUGAGACACGGCCCAGACUCCUACGGGAGGCAGCAGUGGGGAAUUUUGGACAAUGGGCGAAAGCCUGAUCCAGCAAUGCCGCGUGCAGGAUGAAGGCCUGCGGGUUGUAAACUGCUUUUGUACGGAACGAAAGGCUCUGGCUAAUACCUGGGGCACAUGACGGUACCGUAAGAUAAGCACCGGCUAACUACCGUGCCAGCAGCCG